This is a non-coding RNA of Mus caroli (Ryukyu mouse), 777 nucleotides long. Lineage: Eukaryota; Metazoa; Chordata; Mammalia; Rodentia; Muridae. The record is from RefSeq and is a predicted model, not a curated record.
AGUCCCAAGCUGGAGAGGGGUGUGUGGCCACUCCUAGAAGCAGCUGAGAGAUGGAAGGAAGGCGUGGAUGUCUUCCACCAGGGCAAGCACCUGAAGAUGAGAUGGGAGUCACAGGCUCCUUGAAGUGCCCUGAGCUAAGCUGUGGAGAACAGCCAUGGGAUAGCAAGCAAGCAGGUUUUCCCUGUAGUCUCCUGAAGUAUUAGUAUUUGAUAGCUCUGGAUCUACCUCAAUUUCGAAAUAUAAAAGGAAGGUUUCGGGGAGCUAGGGACAGGAGAGAGGUGCGGGUUUGCCCUUCCUCCUCAGUUCUAGCUGCCGAGACCAGAAUGGGAACCAAAAGAAACAAAUCAAAGUUGGACAUAUCAAAGCUUCCGCACUAUGCCCUCAGAGGACCAAGCUGCCCCACCCAUUCUUAAGCUUCUACUCCAAUUAGUUUCAAACCCAGAACAAUGGAUGUGAAAUCACCGUCCAUCCACCUGACUCUGUAUCCUGAAGGCCAUGCAGAAGAAGGCCAUUCUCCAACACACACACUGUUUAAGGAAGUAGAAAUGGGCUCCUUAGCCCAAGAAAGAAUUUAACUCAAUAAGCCACACAUGAAGGUUCUUCCUCUAUGACUACCUCAGUUGUGGAUAGCCUAAGACUCUGCUCUGUCCAGAGAAGGAUGCUGCCUCCAGCGUAAGCUUUGUUUAGCAUCAACAGAUAUUUUCUGUGGCUCCCAAAGAGCACAAAGAGAGAUCUAGUGACUCUUUUCCAUGGUUCACCAGAAGCAAACAGAAUGAA